Vicia villosa (hairy vetch) is the source of this 669-nucleotide long non-coding RNA. RefSeq lists it as uncharacterized. The transcript is spliced from 3 exons. NCBI's taxonomy places the organism in Eukaryota, Viridiplantae, Streptophyta, Magnoliopsida, Fabales, Fabaceae. The record is from RefSeq and is a predicted model, not a curated record.
UAAUUAAUUAUUUUGCAGUGUCUAUAAAGGUUUGCACAAAUCCAAAGGUUUGAUGAAUGAGAUUAACCAAAUUGCAGUGUCUAUUAAGCUGUCUCUUUUCUUUUUUCCUAAAUGUUUACUCAUUCUUGCAGGACACGAUUGUGAGUACCAUAACAUGCAAUUGUCAGUAUCUUGCUCAGCAUAACCGACAGGUUUCCUUUUCAUAACUAUUUGAUUUGGGCAUAUGAGUUAUUAAUUUGAAAUUCGACAACUUUUGAUGAUUGAUUUCAGGGACAAAAGCUUUAUCUAUUGACUUAUCCAACUUUCCAGUCUUGUCGGUACAAAUUGCAUUUACUCUUCUUGUGUUUCCUUACCUUCUUUUAGCCUAUUUUAGACAGGCGGCUUAUUAGGUGCAGAACUUCCAUCAUUCUCCAGAUGUUUUUUAUCACUCUAUUCCAAAUCGCCAUGAACCCUAUCAACACAGUCUUUGAAAAUUGGAAAGAAAAGGGAAAUAGAAGCAAAAGAGGAGAAGAGCAAAGAACGUAAAAGAGCGGAGAAAGAGGAAGAAGAAGAAUCAAGAAUUUUGGCUAAGAUUGAAGAGUAGCGACAUUGUGCUUUGGUGAGGAUAGCUUGUAUGCUAGUCCGUUAGUUUUCGCGUCGGUGUCAUGCUCUAGUCUUGUAACACUGGGG